Molecule: ribosomal RNA, 484 nt
Filed under: uncultured bacterium
Lineage: Bacteria
Description: partial 16S ribosomal RNA
Rfam family: Bacterial small subunit ribosomal RNA
Source: RNAcentral
AUUGAACGCUGGCGGCAGGCCUAACACAUGCAAGUCGAGCGGAUGAAGGGAGCUUGCUCCUGGAUUCAGCGGCGGACGGGUGAGUAAUGCCUAGGAAUCUGCCUGGUAGUGGGGGAUAACGUCCGGAAACGGGCGCUAAUACCGCAUACGUCCUGAGGGAGAAAGUGGGGGAUCUUCGGACCUCACGCUAUCAGAUGAGCCUAGGUCGGAUUAGCUAGUUGGUGGGGUAAAGGCCUACCAAGGCGACGAUCCGUAACUGGUUUGAGGGGAUGAUCAGUCACACUGGAACUGAGACACGGUCCAGACUCCUACGGGAGGCAGCAGUGGGGAAUAUUGGACCAUUGGCGAAAGCCUGAUCCAGCCAUGCCGCGUGUGUGACGAAGGUCUUCGGAUUGUAAAGCCCUUUAAGUUGGGAGGAAGGGCAGUAAGUUAAUACCUUGCUGUUUUGACGUUACCAUCAGAAUAAGCACCGGCUAACUUCGCG